GCACUGCUGUGGAGUCUCAUAAUAGGACGAAACGGCCGUUCAGUGC
Molecule: non-coding RNA, 46 nt
Organism: Schistosoma rodhaini
Lineage: Eukaryota; Metazoa; Platyhelminthes; Trematoda; Strigeidida; Schistosomatidae
Source: Rfam